GGGCCUGUGGCGAAAUUGGUAGACGCACCAGACUUAGGAUCUGGCGCCUAACGGUGUAAGAGUUCGAGUCUCUUCGGGCCCA
RNAcentral lists this transfer RNA (82 nucleotides) under Heliobacteriaceae bacterium. RNAcentral describes it as "tRNA-Leu". It matches the Rfam family "tRNA". From Rfam's summary of the family: Transfer RNA (tRNA) molecules are approximately 80 nucleotides in length. Lineage: Bacteria; Bacillati; Bacillota; Clostridia; Eubacteriales; Heliobacteriaceae. The record is from RNAcentral.